UGUCGCAUAAUAACAAAGUCGUAACGAUAUUCGCGUACACGAACCGGUUCGUGCAGGUUGCUCUGAUCUAUUCUACCAAGAACAGAUAUGUGCCUUUUGUCGUACCCGCCUAUUCAUUAAGUUGAUGGAUCUCAUGCUUAACGAAGAUAUUCCAGAUAUCAGGCCAACAGAAAACUGCUGCACAAGUAGUGAAGCAGAUGCAUUGCCAUGAUGGAGGACUCAGGACUAGUUGUGCCAGACUUCUAGUUUCUAGUAUCAAACAGGCUUGCGCAAUCUUCUUGAAACUGCUUGAGACCACUCCCUGGUGACCGUAGAGUCGGACGGCAUAAACUCACGGUGAGCAUUUCCUGACGGUCGAAGGAAACCGUCACAAGUGUCAUGCUCUCGUCCGUGUUGCUGUCACAGACCUUCCAGGAGGAGUAUCGUAUUGUGGCUUGUAUUGCAGAUCACUUAUGACAUCGACUCACCCAAUCUCACCGGCAAACUUGGGAUUACAUCGGGCUGUUAUGAGAUUUCACCUGGCCGAGCGCAUGACCAAUAAGUGAACGUGUGUCUGUGAAGGCUUCAGAAUACAAAGAUCACAAGUUUCCUAGUGGCAAUAUAUAACAGGACAAAAAACCCUAAGAGAUGUAUGUUCAAGUGAGACACUGAGUCAUCCUGAAGUCAUAUUGCAACACUCGCAACAAUAUUGGAAUGAUCUCAUCGUUUUUCUGCAUUAGCAGCUUCCGUGGCGUUUCCAGGCAUUGGUGGUUGAUAAAGGCCACAGGGCUAGGAGUACCUAUGUGACAGGAGCACUUUUAGACGAAUAAACACAGAAUCCGAUCCGAUUAGGAACUUCGAAUCGGCUACACUUUCAAAUCCCUUAAUGGACAUACGGGUCUUAAAACUGUUUGUGUUUUGCAAGUGGAUGCCCGAGGGCAGCAGACACUCGAGCUUAAAGCAAAAGCUCUCGAGUAAUUUAGCAUAGCGUCUCCAUAUAGGAGGAUGGUUUUAAAUUUCGGUGCAAUUCCUAAUGUGCUUUUUCAAUCUCAAAGAAUUACACUGUCAAGUCACGUCUCGAAAAUUGUUCAAGUACACAUAUUUUUCUAUCGAAGUGCCUCGAAUAAA
Varroa destructor (honeybee mite) is the source of this 1107-nucleotide long non-coding RNA. The record is from RefSeq and is a predicted model, not a curated record. Lineage: Eukaryota; Metazoa; Arthropoda; Arachnida; Mesostigmata; Varroidae.